Molecule: ribosomal RNA, 97 nt
Filed under: Castor canadensis (American beaver)
Lineage: Eukaryota; Metazoa; Chordata; Mammalia; Rodentia; Castoridae
Source: RNAcentral
AGUGAUCCCACCCUGAACGCACCCGACCUUGUCUGAUCUCGGAAGCUAAGCAGUGUCGAGCCUGGUUAGUACUUGGAUUGGAGACCUGGUUCCAUUU